UAGAAAACACCAUUACUGGUGUGAAUCUUGAGACAAAAUAAUGGCAGAGGCAAAAAUAAUUUGUUCAAAAAACUUUAGUGAGUAUGAAAAAGCGCUACUAGAACAAAUUUUGUCGAACAAUCCAGUUAUUGAAAAUAAAAACCGUACUGCUGCUACUGGGCAAAGAAAGAGUGGUUGGGCUGCAAUUUGCAGUGAAUUCAAUGCAAAUAAAAACGUAACCACAAGAAGGGAACAACCACUUCAGAGCACCAGCAACCUCUGGAUGGUAUACCAGACGAUGACCAUUUGGACAGUUCAGAUGAAGAACUGAGCACAAAUGUCCUCCCGGUUUUGACCCUUGCCUGUUUCUGGACUGU
Molecule: long non-coding RNA, 356 nt
Organism: Salvelinus sp. IW2-2015
Lineage: Eukaryota; Metazoa; Chordata; Actinopteri; Salmoniformes; Salmonidae
Source: RefSeq, a predicted model, not a curated record